Molecule: small nuclear RNA, 166 nt
Filed under: Carlito syrichta (Philippine tarsier)
Lineage: Eukaryota; Metazoa; Chordata; Mammalia; Primates; Tarsiidae
Description: U1 spliceosomal RNA (ENSTSYG00000031264.1)
Rfam family: U1 spliceosomal RNA
About the family: U1 is a small nuclear RNA (snRNA) component of the spliceosome (involved in pre-mRNA splicing). Its 5' end forms complementary base pairs with the 5' splice junction, thus defining the 5' donor site of an intron.
Source: Rfam by way of RNAcentral
AUACUGACCUGGCAGGGGAGUUACCAUGAUCAUGAAGGUGGUUUUCCCAGGGUGAGGCUUAUCCAUUGCACUCUGGACAUGCUGACCCCUGAGAGAUUUCCCCAAAUGUGAGAAACUCAACUGCAUAAUUUGUGGUAGUGGGGGAUUGCAUUCGCGCUCUCCCCUG